CUCGUAGGCGGUUCGUCGCGUCCGGUGUGAAAGUCCAUCGCUUAACGGUGGAUCCGCGCCGGGUACGGGCGGGCUUGAGUGCGGUAGGGGAGACUGGAAUUCCCGGUGUAACGGUGGAAUGUGUAGAUAUCGGGAAGGACACCAAUGGCGAAGGCAGGUCUCUGGGCCGUCACUGACGCUGAGGAGCGAAAGCGUGGGGAGCGAACA
Molecule: ribosomal RNA, 207 nt
Filed under: uncultured bacterium
Lineage: Bacteria
Description: partial 16S ribosomal RNA
Rfam family: Bacterial small subunit ribosomal RNA
Source: RNAcentral